GGGGGGUCGCGGCAUUAAAAAGGUUAAGAACCACUGGGCUAGAGGGAUCUCCUGCUUGAAUAGGAGAUUGGACUAGAUUAGAAGACCUCCAAGGUCCCUUCCAAUCCUAUUAUUCUAUGUUCUGGUCAAAUCCCAGCAACUUGAUAAUUAGCCAUAUAGUAUGGUGCUUCUGGGAAUUGCAUUUUAGUAAUGUUUGGAGAGACACAUCAUGCAAGCUGCAACACUGUUCACUUUCUGGUUUCCUUUCAGCAGGGGUGCAUAUCAGAAUCUUUAUGUCUUUGCUUUGGGCUACCUAGUAAAUGUAUCUAACAUAUACAUCAUCUGAAGGGUUGAGGCUGCAACUUAAUCUUUUGAUCACUGGAGGACCACAUGAAGUGAUGCUGAGAAGUCAUCAAACUGGUCAUAACUGAUUUUUUAAGUCUGUUUUUAAGAGGCUUUGGAUGAGCAUAAGAUAUGAAAGUCUUCUGGAGGAACAUGGUUUACAUUCUUAAUUUUUAACCAUAAUGAAACCUAGAAACAAGCUGAUUGAGGGGCUUUUUGGGGCGGUUAUAGUAGCUUUCAGAAAUAAGACUCUCAGAAGACACUAGUUCCAUUAUUCCAAUAUUUAAGGUUACCUCAAAACCUUAAAAAGUGGGCCGAAUCAUACAGUCAGUUUUAGUCAUAAAUAUUUUAUUGCCCUUUCCAAUCCCUUAGUACUCUGAGCAAUUUGUAGUAAAAUCCUACAGGUGCCUACCUACUCAGAAAUAUUAAAUUCAAGAGACUCCUGUGCAAGUGUAUACAGGAUUCUGGUUUCUGUGCUGUUUUUGUUAGGCAAAAAUGAAAAUUUAUAAAUAAAAAUAAUACUUCAAAAUAUUUUAUCAUAAUUAUUGCUGCCUUUAAUGUACCUAUAAUUAAAUAUGUAGUGCUAAUGUGGCUUGCAUUAAUUGCAACUUUGAUUUACCUAUUAAGUAGAUAUAAUUAAGCAACCAGAAUAGUCUGGUUUAAUCUGUUUAUGAAAAUCAUUUAGAUACAGUCAAGGAAUGCUAAUGAAUUCACCUAAAUUUGAAGUGAAAUUUGUAGCAAACUAAGUUGAAGGGAAAUGAGAAAAUGAGAAGAAAAACAAACUUUCAUAGCAUAACUUUUUAUCCCUCAAAUGUAGCUAUCUCAUUUAGUUCUUACUUUUGGAAAAUUACUACAGUAUUGGUAAUUUCCAGUUUAACUUGUAACCAGCACACUAUAAUCAAGUCCUAUAUCCAGAUCAGAGCAAGCAUCCAUGCCACUUAGUUAAGUUAGUUUAAAAAAACACAUAACCCCUUGAUGUUUAUUCUGAAAAUAUUGGGAAAUAUCAAAUCUGAAACUAUAUACAAAAAUCAAAUAAAAGCAAUGAGGAGAGGCAUGAAGAACAUAUAAGAGAUUUUAAAAAGGCACAUUAUCUAUACAAAAAGACACAGAAUGUUCCAGAUCACAGGAAAUAAUGUCAUUAAUUAGCAUAAAUAGUCCUAAAGAAAAUAAUUAACACUUUUAUGUACAUAACAGCAACAUAACAGAGAGGGAAAGUGGGACACCAUGUGAUUGCUCCUACAUUUUGCACCAUAAAGGGAAUAAUUAGAUGGACAGAGGUAUGACGUAUCACACAGACAAUGGAAAAGUUUCAACAGUCUGAUCCUACAAGGGGAAGAAACAUCUGUUUGUUUCCAGCUAAACUGUACUGUGGGCGAUCUUCAUUCUGACCUAAUGAACUCUGGUUAUAAUCCGUUAUCUUAAAAAAAUGUAUUGCUGUUGUUUUAAAGUUUAUAUACAGUGAAUUACAACAAUUUUCCACCGUCUGUUGGAAAAUGUUUGAACUAGAACUACCAUUAUUUCUGCAUUAAUAAUACAUGUGUGGGAUAGAACAAACAGUCCUUGCUUACUAACCACUCAUUCAGCAACUAUUCAAAAUUAUGAUGGCAUUGAAAAAUAGAUAUAUGACUGGUCUUUGAAGUUGCAUAGAAAUACGUACACAUAUACAAGUUUAUUUCUUCCAUAAGUAUUUUCCUUUUAAAUGUUAAAACGUUUGUUUUUCUAAAGGAAGAAUCACUAAAUUAUCUACAAUCCAAAUACUAUCAUUUGAUAUGUAACUCACAGAAAAAGAGAAAAUGUACUUGGAAACAAAACAUUUAUGAUUGUUUGCAGUGUCCCACAGUCACAUGACUGUGAUUUAUGAUAUUUUUUUUGCCAAAAAACGGCACUUACUUGUAAUUUUUGGACAAGUAGAGAAAAAUGGGCUUAUUUAGCAAUUGCAAUAUUCACUUAAUGCCUCAUUCCGGCUGCAAGUCGAGAACUACCUACAACCAGUUUGAUGUGGUAGUGAGAACACUAGGCUAGAAACCAGGAAUUGCAAAUUCUAGUUCUGCUUUAGGCAGGAAAGCCAGCUGGGUGACUCUGGGCCAAUCAUUUUCUCUUAACCCAACCUAUCUUACAGGUUGGUUGUUGUGGGUAAAAUAGGUGGAGGAAGGAGUAUUAAGUAUGUUCGCCACCUUUAUUUAUUUAUAAAAAUAAUACAGGCAGGACGAAAAUUAAAUAAAUAAUAAAUUAAAAACUAGGCCUCCAGGCUCUAUUUUCCCAAAUGAGCUGAAAUCAACCUAAUUCAUUAUUGCCAUAUGAUGUCCUUUCCUCAAAAUCUUCAGGAAUAUGUGUGUGUCUCUCUUUCUCUCUUUUUGGUCCCUUCAUGUCAGUCUAACUCCUGACAACUGCCUGGGCAGAUCCCUGCAGUUUUCUUGACAAGUUUUUUGCCUUUGCCUCCUUCUUAGGUCUCAGAGAGAAUGAUCAAGAUUAUGCAGUUGUCUUUCAGCCUAAGGCAGAAGUAGAAUCUCCAGGAUACUAGCCUGGUGCUUUAACCAUCAUUCUGUUCAAGAAUGACUAGCAAAGCUGAAAAGAUGACCCAAUUUACUUCGGGGAGCUUCACAUUUUACUGUAGUUUCCAGCUGCUGUUAAGCUUAAUUAUCAGGCAGAAAAACACCAUCCCUGCUGUCUCAAAGACUGCUUAUCUGUGAUCAGCUUCCACAUGGUUGAGAAACACUGGUUUAAGAGAACAUUCCAAUGAAUCAACAGUACAGGAAGCAAAUGUUCAUAAGGGUUUCGAUGUCUGAUCCAAAUUCCCCCUGGAAAGAACCUUGCAAUUGAUUUUUGCCCAAGAGAUGAUGGGACAUUUAAAUAUUGUUCCUCAGUUUAGAUUUCAUUGGCAGCUGACUUUCAGCUGUUGUGUAAACAUAAUGUAAUUGUUCACAACCCAUACUCUGCUGUAGAAGAAGAUAUGGAGUGAUUUUUCAGAUGAAGGCAGGGGAAAU
Long non-coding RNA from Crotalus tigris (Tiger rattlesnake), 3305 nucleotides. RefSeq lists it as uncharacterized. The transcript has 2 exons. NCBI's taxonomy places the organism in Eukaryota, Metazoa, Chordata, Lepidosauria, Squamata, Viperidae. The record is from RefSeq and is a predicted model, not a curated record.